This 490-nucleotide ribosomal RNA is filed under the name uncultured bacterium. RNAcentral describes it as "partial 16S ribosomal RNA". It matches the Rfam family "Bacterial small subunit ribosomal RNA", at positions 30 to 507 of the family's 1533-position model. The record is from RNAcentral.
AUUGAACGCUGGCGGCAGGCCUAACACAUGCAAGUCGAACGGUAACAGGGAUCUGCUUGCUGAUUCGCUGACGAGUGGCGGACGGGUGAGUAAUGUCUGGGACACUGCCUGAUGGAGGGGGAUAACUACUGGAAACUGUAGCUAAUACCGCAUAACGUCGGAAGAUCAAAGAGCGGGACCUUCGGGCCUAUCGCCUUCGCCUAUGUCCAGUUGGGAUUAGCUAGUAGGUGGGGUAACGGCUCACCUAGGCGACGAUCCGUAGCUGGUCUGAGAGGAUGACCAGCCACACUGGAACUGAGACACGGUCCAGACUCCUACGGGAGGCAGCAGUGGGGAAUAUUGCACAAUGGGCGCAAGCCUGAUGCAGCCAUGCCGCGUGUAUGAAGAAGGCCUUCUGAUUGUAAAGUACUUUCAGCGGGGAGGAAGGGAAUAAAGUUAAUACCUUUGCUCAUUGACGUUACCAGCAGAAGAAGCACCGGCUAACUCCGUG